This is a non-coding RNA of Lepisosteus oculatus (spotted gar), 2905 nucleotides long. Lineage: Eukaryota; Metazoa; Chordata; Actinopteri; Semionotiformes; Lepisosteidae. The record is from RefSeq and is a predicted model, not a curated record.
AAGCUUAAGUACUGAACCACAAAAGCUGUUUGGUGUUGUGAACUUGGUUCCUGAUAAGAUAUUGGUCAGAGAGGUAGGAAUACACCACAACUUGUCCUGGCUUAUUGCCUGAAGGGGACUUGAAGUUUGUGAAAUCUCAGAAGAGAAAGGUAGGUAGUCUUUUUUGUACUGUGUCCACUGUCAUGCUGUGGUCCACUCUAUUCUGUAAAUGUUUACAAGGUGGGAUCGUGCCACUCUUGGCAGCUGAGCAAGUUGUAGAGAAGAAAAUGGGGUGACGUUCUGGUGGUUGUUUUCACCUACAAGCUCCAGGCACACUUGUUUAUUUAUAAGUCAAGCUAGCACUCAUUUUGUGUUCUAUGUUCAAUUUUUGAAGGGAAAAGAAAAAUUAUUACAUGGUACCAUAUCCAACAAUAAGAAAUGUGAACGAUCAUCAUGGCACAAAAAACUCCAAAUCGCACUUUUUUUCGUGACUUUAAGAUUCGACACUCCCUCCAGACUCAGCUAUUGGUGUCCUGCUGAAGUUAACUCCAAGUGUUUGAGGUGUCUUUUGUUGUUUUUAAUCAGCCGAUGGGCUGGUUAGUUUGGAAACCCUGUCACAGCGUAAUGGCUGUUGAGGACUGGGACCCCUGUAGGAGAGGCUCUGAAGAAAGCUGCCGUUUUUGUUCUUGUGUCUUCGGGGGAUUUUGCUUAGAGCCGCUGUGCGCUCGCAGAGUGAAGCUGCAAAUAGACCACGGUGAAAUGCAAGCGCUUUUCAGGCACUGUGACCACAGUACCCUGCUCUUCCAGCUAUUUUGGUCAAUGCCUUUGUACAUUCUACAAAAUAAGCCUCCAGAUCUAGUUAAUUCUUAUCAUAUAGCCACAGCAGCAAUAUCACCCUGCAGCUCACCACCGGCAGCCCACUGAAGCUCAGCAGAUGUAAGCCUGGUCAGUACCUGGAUGGGAGACUCCUGGGAAGAGCUCUUGCCCCUCCAGUGACCCAGGGAGGGAGCAGUGACCAGCAGGAGGACUGUUGGCAGAGGAGGUUCCUGCUGGAAACGCCGACGUGUCCCGGCAACCCGCCCACCUGCAGAAGCCUUCGUCCAUCCAUUGACUGGUUGCAAGGCUCCACGGAGCACCAGAGGGGAGAAGGAGGGCGUAGCUGCAGACUGGUCGUCCCAUCUGGUCCACCCGGGCUGCGUCUCCACCAGAUUGGACGCAGCAGCUGAGAAGCGUCCGUCUCACAGCUCAGCCCCGGCGAGCAGGCGAGAGAGCAGCGCAUCUCGCUGCCAGGCUGCCGGAGGAGUCGCCUGUUGCCAGCAUGGUGGGGGGACCCCCAGCCGGCUUCGUCUCAGCCUGCUGCCCGCAGCGGCGCCAUGCCGGUCAGCUGCUGGCGGCCCCCGGGGUUCGUCCUGCUGGUGCUGGGGGUCAGAGCUGGUCUCAGGUCUCUCUGGCCUCUGACAACGGGUUUAAAACAGCGAACAACAGGACCAACGUGCUCUGGCACGUCUAUCGCUGUCACCGCGGUGUCCGGCCGCUGGAAAUCCGGGCGGAAUGCAAGCCGAAUCCUUAUCCUGCCGCGCGAGAGGCCGGGAAGCCCAGCAGCCAAGCAUUAGGAAGAGGAGGACAGCACAUGAGGCGACCAUCCACUGGCCACAAGCGACCUGCUUGACGUCAUAUCUGGCACGAGGGGAAGUCGGUUUCCUUGGCAACCAGGGACCCUGAUCAUGGGAAAACUGCAGCGGCGGCUCAUCUGAAGCGCCCGAGUCAGGGAGCGGGGAUCCUGUCUCCCUCCCGGAGCGGAGCUGAACAAAGCCAGGCGCUGCCGAGUCAGGCAGAAGGAUCCCCCGUCUGAUCGGAUACCUGGCGCUGAGCUGGCGUCUCUCACACACAGGGGCCCCGCGGUGCUUCAGCGAAGCGAGCCCAGUGCUGGUGCAGGGACUGCGCGCGGCGAUCCUCCAUCACGAUGCGCCCCCCCACCCCCCCCGCACGCUGCAGGAGCCAGCUGGGGGUUAACUGCCUCUCUCAUUCCUGCUUGGGGGGGGGGACGGAGACCAGCAGAAGCAGCUUUUAACAAGGUAUGAUCUCAGGGCGCUGGAAUCAGGAGAGCCACUGGUGUUUACGCUGCUGAGCCUCUGCACCCACACCCAAACACCCACACGCCAACGCACCCACGUGACACCUCCCCCCCGCUCCCUGGGGGGGGGGUGUGGGGAGGUCACAGGAAACAUUUCGACAUCUUCAGUCUUUGCCUGACAGGGCAACAUCCAUGAGCCAGCCUAAGCAUUGACUUCCAUUGCUCUUGUCCCAUUUGCUAUACGUCGUAGUUAAUCAUCUGGGGUUCUAGCUGGAUUAAAGAAGGCCGAGUCCUCCACUGGGAGCCUGUGGUGGGAAUCAAUUCACCUGAGAGUUUCCGUCUGUCAGUGGCCACCUCUGCCCAAAUUAAACAUGCACACAGCCGGCAAGUGCAUCAGCUGAGAGAAAAUCCUUAUCCAGGGUAAGGAGCUGCUGCAAGCAGGCUCGGGGCUGGGAAUUCUGACAGGAGACGGAACAACAGGACACUUGCACUUUGCAUACCGGCAUACAUUUCGGCAUCUUCAGUUAGACCACAAUAGCAGAGCACCGGAGAGCGUGAUGCUGGACACAGGGCGCAAAAGGCCAGCGACAGACUCGGGUCCCUGCUGACGUCUUUCCUACUCUUUACACGCUCGCCUCGAUUCGAAGCCUUUCACUUGAUCAGCACUCUCCUAUGCAAAUGGAGCAACGCUUGUGCUCGAAACACGAAGCUUGGGGAAAUGAGAAAGAAGAGCGCUUGUCGAUGGCACAGCCUUUAGGUUAGCCUGCCGUUAUGAGUCACAGCUAGGGAGAGAAAAAAAAAAGAGAUGUGUUUAGGCCACUCUGGGUUUUCUGUUCUGAGUACAGUGAUUAA